AUGAGGAAAGUGAGCCCCAGGGAAGUGAAGAAACUAGAUCAAGAUAACAUGGAACGAAGAUUUGGACUUGGCCUCCCCAGGCCUAGCACAGGCCUCUUUCUUAUUGAAUUGCUUGUUUUUCUUGUUGGUGGGAAAGAGAUUUGGAGAAUUAUGUUGGUGGCCCUUAAAUCACACCAAGCCAGCAUCUGUCUGUGUCCAAGGAGGCAGGCAGUGAGUCUUGUGUGUGUACAUUUGCCCACCUUCAGAACCUUUGGCUCGUGCCUUUACCAGCACUGUUUUCUACUCAUUCUAGCAGACAGAUUGGCCUCUUUCCCAACCUGGGUCUUCAGCAGAGUGGUUCAUGAAGGGUUUGUUCAGAAUCCUGAUUCCAGGUAUAAUCUGCAUGAACCUCAUGGAGAAGGAGCCCCUUCUCAGAAGGUUCUAUGCUUGAAGAAGUUUAAGAAUACUUAUGGUAUCCUGAUCUGAGUCCUGAGGCAGGGCUACUGAACUGAGCCAUCCCCACAUACUAAUAAGCAACUUCUUGCACAGCUCUAAUUUGUCCAGACGUAAGAAAGCUACCAACACAAUAUUCACUUGAAAAUGACAACUUUGCAAUAGUAGUUCUACCUACUCCUAACAAGCGGAAGAAUUCUUGCACAGACAUUCUUAUAUGCACUUAAACAUUGGCCGCUAAGGGGCUCCGGUCUGUUCAACUCUUGGUUCCUUAGAUAUUUUAAAAUAUCUCCCCCCAACUACAACUUAGAUUCCCAUUCACAGAAAGGACAUGAUCAUUAAAAUUAGGAUCUGUGAAAUCAUUUCUUAUCUGAAGAAAAUACUAUAUUCCAACAUGAUGGAGAAGUUAUCUUUUCUGGAUUUUUCAACACAGAGGACAUUUGUGUUCUGUGAGUUUAAUGUUUCAUUUAGAUCUUAAGAAUGAAAAACACUACAAUUGCUGUACCUUUCUUUCGUUACUUUGGACAGGAUUUAAAUAAGGGACUCUUGAUUUUGAUAGAGAGCAGUUGUUGUUUCAUUAAAAAAGAAAAAAUAAUGUACAAAUCUACUUAAUGUAUCAGAGAAGUUGAUGGAACUUCUUAAUAGUCUGAGAAACAAUUACAGUUUACAUAUUAUAGAACUGUAGAUUUGGAAGGGAAUUCAUUAGCUCACUCUUUGGGUGUGGCCAAACUUACUCAUGUCUGGCUACUUUCCUAAGUUUCUUCUCAAAAUGGAAUGUACAUUUGGAGAAAAGAGACAAAACAAGAGCAUGUAAAAACAUAGCAAAUGCCAAAUUUGUGUAUUAUAUUUAUAUAUAAUAUAUGUUAUAUAUUAUAUUUAUAUAUAAUAUAUGUUAUAUAUUAUAUUUAUAUAUAAUAUAUGUUAUAUAUUAUAUUUACACUUUUUCCCUUCAUGAAGUCAAUUAUACCUUUUUUUUACUCUUCAUACAACUUUUAAAACACUGUGAGAUUGAAGCCAGUUUAAAUCUGAAAUACUAUAGAAUAUUAAUGACUGCAGCCUGACUAGCCAUUUUGUUAAAGCAAUUUAAAUGACAUUAGAAGUAGUAAAAACAACAUUGAUACUAUAAAUAACCAAAAUUAGUGAGAUAAAAGAUAGUAUUGAGAAAAAUCCAAAAAUGACUGAGGAAAAGGACUGAAUUGCAAGAGAUUAGAAAUGACAUCAUGGCUAUGAAGAAUAGUCGAUGGAGAUUUAAUAUACAGAAAAUAGCAAUUUAUGGACAAGAAAAGAGAAAAAAUAAAACAUUUAAUGAUAUAAUAUAAGAAAACUUUCCUAGAAUGAAGGACAAUCUGAAUCUGCAGAUCAAAAGGGAUUAUUGUAACCUGGAAAAACUUAAUAAAUAACAACCCACAUCAAAGUACAUUCUGGUGAUGUUAAAUAACAUCAAAGAAAAAAAGGAAAUGAAGUAAUUUCUGUAAUCAUCCAACAAUAGAAACAGAAGCAGAUCACUAUUUAUUUUAUUUUUAUCCUUACCUCCAUAAAAAUCAGCCCACAAAAACAAAAACAGGUCAACAGUUCAGCCUGAUCUCAAGUACUUCAGGAACAUUUUCUGAUGAAAGACAAUGGAAUAACAUCUAAAGAAGGCAGAGGGGAAAGAGUGUCACUCAGCCAAGAUGUCUUUCUCAUGUAAGGGAAAUACUAAAAUAUUCACAGGAAUGAAAUUAUUCAUGUACCCGUCCUGGAAACUUUUGAGAAACAUAAUUUAACCAAUUAGAAUAAAUAUAAUAACAAUAAUGUAAAAAGAAAGAAAACUGACUUUAUAAGUGAAAUAAACUGGGCAAUAAUUUUAAUUAGGGGCAAUAAUUUUAAUUGAUAGUAUAGAGAAAUUUCUUCUUAUACUGACACCUGAAAUAAAUAUUUAUAAAGGCAGGACUAAACUGAUGAUAAAGUAGGAAAACAGUUGGAGGCCAGAGACAGAAGAAAGGGUGAUUCCACAGGUAGAAGUGAACUCUGAUCUGUGUUUGCCUUGUGCAAUAUCCCCUUAUACUGAUUCCUAAUGGAUUUUGUCUAGAUUAUAAUGGGCCAAAUAUUCUCAAGGGGCAGGAGCAGGAACUGGAGCUUAAUCUGGGAGAGGGUGGAUUGAAUACCUUCUCAUGAAUUUAGAACUCCUAAAAGGUGUCAUCUUCAGUGAGUAAAAGACCAAUGAGGCAAAAAAAAAAAAAGACUACUCAGAAGCAAUGGGGGAAACUGGUUGUCUUUACAAAGGAUAAACAAAUUUUAAACGUCUUUCUCUGUAUAUCUUACACAAAAAUCAAUUUCAGAUGCAUUCAUGACUUAAAAAUGGAAAGUCCAAAUUUAAGCCUUCUAGAAAACAUGGGAAAUAUCUUUCUUUAGGAUUUCAAUGUAGGGAAAGAUUUCCUAUGCAAGACACCAAAAGCAACUAAACAUAAAGGAAAAGAUUAUUAUAUUUGACAAUAUUAAAAUAAAUAACUUCAGCUUAUUAGAAGAAAUUUUAUUUUCUCUAGAAAACAAGAGUCAUAAAGAGGAAGAAGACAUUCGUCACACAUAUGACCAAAGGGUUAGUCUCAGACUACAAAAAGAACUCCUUUGAAUCAUUAAGAGAUAAAUAAACUAAUAGAAAAAUGGGCAAUUGUCAUGAACAGUCAUUUUCUAGAGGAGGAAACAAACAGCCAAUAAAUAUAUAAAAUAUUAUUGCUCUUAUGUGUCAAGACAGUGUAAAUAAAAACUACAAUACCAUCUUUUUAUAUUAGAUUAACGAAAGUUUAAAAGUCAGUUAAUACCAAGUGUUGGCAAGAAAGCAACAGGAGCUUUUGAAGGCUGCUUGUGAGAGUGUAAAUUGGUAUAAUCACUUUGUAAAACAAUCCAGCACUAACUGAUAAAGUUGAACAUGUGCGUAUUGUAUGACCCAGGAAUUUAUCUUCUAUGUAUAAAUCUUAGAGAAACUUUUACAUGUGAACCAGGGCAUGUUCAGAAAAGCAUUAUCCCUACUAGAAAAAUCUUAAAAUAAUACAAAUAUCCAUCAACAAUGAAUUGGAUUAAAAAACUUCAGGGUACACAAAUACUAUACCAUUAUAUAGCAGUAAAAAUAAGUGAACAUGCUAUACUCUAUCUGUAUAUGUAAACACACAUGAUGCUGAACCGCAGAGGGUAGUUACAAAAAUAUAGAAUGAUUUCAUUCAGAAAUGUUGAAAUAAGGCAAAUGAAGUGAUAUAUUUUUUGGAGAAAGUGGUAAAACUAUGAAGAAAAGCAAGGGAAGGCUUAUUGGUAUUUCAGUGUAGGAUACCAGUGAGGGCACAGAAGUGGACAGAUCAGAAAGGAGCACAUGGCCCUCUGCAUGGAUCAGAGCACAGUGUGAGGGACAUGGGUGUCAUUUUUAUUCUUCAUUAAGUGGUGAAAAUACACUGUGUGCACUUUUAGUACAUAUGAUUUUAAAAUAAUAAACAUUUUAAGAAGUUAAAUGGAAAACUGUAAUAAAUUUGGUGAAAAGUGAUUUUGUUGUAAUAGGUUGACAAAAGUACAGGUGUACAUCAAGAAAAAUAAUUUAGGGUAAAAAUAUUAAUAAAAGCAAAGUAAAUGAUUUUAUAUGUUGGCUCAAAUACAAAACUAAGACAACAAUUAUAAAGAGAACACCUAGGAACCAAAAAGAAGCAGUUAAAAAAAAAGGAUGAAAAACCCAGGAACAGACUCAAGCACACUUAGAUAUCCAACACGUAAGAGCAAUAAUAGCUCUUAUUUUGAUCAUAUUUACUAAGUAUAUUGCUACUUGAACUUAAAUUAAAUUUUGAUUUAAAUGUAGGAUGAAGCCAUAAAUUUAUGAUUUAUAAUGCAGCUUAAAUGUCACUUCCUACAGGAAGUUUUCUUUGAUGUCCCUGGAAGUCCAUAAAUGCCUCUGCCAUGGGCUUCCAUAGCAGCCUAUAUAUUCCCCAUUACUACAGGUGACAUUCUUUAUAGCAAUUCUGUGUUCAAAUCCAUCCCACCCUACCCCUCUAGAAGACUCUGUGCUCAAUGAAGAUAUGAUAUUAUUUUUGUUUUUGUUUUCUGAGACAGGGUCUCACCCUGUAGCCCAGGCUGGAGUGCAGUGGUGUGAUCACAGCUUACUGUAGCUUCCAACUCCUGGGAUUCAGCCAUCCUCCUGCCUCAGACUCUCAAGGAGCUAGGGCUACAGGUACAUACCACCAUGCCCAGUGAAUUUUUUUUGUCAUUUUUGCAGAGACAGAGUCUCACUAUUUAGCCUAUGCUGGUCUCAAACUUCUGGGCCUCAAGCAAUCCUCCUAUCUGUGCCUCCUGAGUUGCUGAGAUGACUGGUAUGAGCCAUUGCACCCAGCCCCCUAUUUUAUCAUACGCACCAGCAAAGUGAACAGUGCCUGGCCCAGAGUAGGUGUUCAGUAAACAUAUACUAAAUUCACAUAUAAAUAAUCAAAGAAAUGGAUAUAGAUUUGAUACGGGGCAGGUCUAUGAAAUAGUAUAUGAAAGCAGAAGCCAUAGCAGCAUAUAAUGGAAUACUUGACUACAUCAAACAAAAAGCACAAUAAUUCUAUACCCAGAGAAAAGGCAAAUGGCAAAAUCGAGAAAAUGUAUGGUAUUGAGGCAGAAGAACACGGAAUUAGGGGAACCAAGGGUUAAGGUAUAAGCAAGAGAAUAGCAGGUGCAGCUCGUUUUAGGCAAGAUUAGGCAGUAAACAGACCACAUCUUCACUCCUGUGACAACAAGACAGAAGUCUCCACUUCAGCCUCAGACUGGUCAUAGGUCAAUGCUUCAUAGAGUGUAACCAGUUGGAGGCCUUCUAAAGGGCACCUAGGAGUGUUACCAAGUUUUCUUAGCUUAAUAAAAACCCUAAAGAACAUUGCAAUGGGGGGUGCAGCUUUUGAGCCACUUGCUGGAGCCUGCUCCCACUCUAUGGAGUGUACGUUUGCUUCAAUAAAUCUGUGCUUUUGUGGCUUUGUUCUUUUG
Molecule: long non-coding RNA, 5400 nt
Filed under: Callithrix jacchus (white-tufted-ear marmoset)
Lineage: Eukaryota; Metazoa; Chordata; Mammalia; Primates; Cebidae
Description: lncRNA (ENSCJAG00000081582.1)
Source: RNAcentral